AUGAAGAAAGAAUUUGGAGGCUUGAGAAUACCAAACCUCCAAGAUGUAAAUCUGUGUUUACUAAGAUCCUGGGUCAAGAGAUACUAUGAAUUUUGGAAAGGAUUCCAAUCUAUCAUCCAAACUCUCAAGUUUGCCUAUUGGUGGAAACUUGGUAGUGGAGACAAGAUUAGAUUCUGGGAAGACACCUGGUUUGGUACCUCCCCACUAGCUAUUCAAUUCUGUUCGGUCUAUACUAUUUGCAAUGAGCAAACUAAAAGCUUCAGGGAUGUGUGGGAUGGAGAAACCCUCAAACUAACAUUUAGGAGAAAUUUUGAUAGCAAACUCAUGGAGCAAUGGUACCAGUUGGUAGAUAUUGCUGGGAGCAUUGCUCUCAGUAAUGACACAGACUCUUUGGUCCGGCAACUAGGGAACAAAGGGGUCUACUCUUCCAGCUCCCUAUACCAUGUGAUUAAUUUUAGAGGGGUGCAACCAGUUUUCCUCCCUGCUGUGUGGAAACUCUUUGUACCCCCAAAAAUGCAUGUCUUUCUCUGGUUAUUUUCUACUAACACGUUGAUAACCAGAGACAAUUUGAGGAAAAGACACGUUCUAAAACCGUUCAUCAAAAAAAAAAAGGUGUGCAAAGGACACCCACUUAUAGUCAAGAGGUUUGUUCCGGGGAGAGGGACGACGAGGAAGGGUGAAGGAAAAACUCUCCUUGGGCAGUAG
This 705-nucleotide ribosomal RNA is filed under the name Triticum aestivum (bread wheat). Its description in RNAcentral is "partial small subunit ribosomal RNA". The record is from RNAcentral. Lineage: Eukaryota; Viridiplantae; Streptophyta; Magnoliopsida; Poales; Poaceae.